UUUAAAUGGCCGCAGUAUUUUGACUGUGCAAAGGUAGCAUAAUCAUUAGUCUUUUAAUUGAAGGCUGGUAUGAAUGGUUGGACGAAGUAUAAGCUGUUUCAUAUGAAUUUAUUAUAGAAUUUUAUAUUUUAGUUAAAAAGCUAAAAUUUUAUUAAAAGACGAGAAGACCCUAUAAAUCUUUAUAUUUUUUAUUAUUUAAGUUUUUUAGAUUUAUUUUAUUUUUAUAAUAUUAAAUAUUUUGUUGGGGUGAUAUUAAAAUUUAAUGAACUUUUAAUAUAUUUUUAUCAUUAAUUUAUGAUUUAUUGAUCCAUUAAUAUUGAUUAUAAGAUUAAGUUACUUUAGGGAUAACAGCGUAAUUUUUUUUGAGAGUUCAUAUCGACAGAAAAGUUUGCGACCUCGAUGUUGGAUUAAGGUAUAAUUUUGGGUGUAGUUGUUCAAUUAUUAAGUCUGUUCGACUUUUAAAUCCUUACAUGAUC
Molecule: ribosomal RNA, 476 nt
Filed under: Anastrepha nigrivittata
Lineage: Eukaryota; Metazoa; Arthropoda; Insecta; Diptera; Tephritidae
Description: partial small subunit ribosomal RNA
Rfam family: Bacterial large subunit ribosomal RNA (bases 344-476)
Source: RNAcentral